GACGAACGCUGGCGGCGUGCUUAACACAUGCAAGUCGAACGGAAAGGCCCUGCUUUUGUGGGGUGCUCGAGUGGCGAACGGGUGAGUAACACGUGAGUAACCUGCCCUUGACUUUGGGAUAACUUCAGGAAACUGGGGCUAAUACCGGAUAGGAGCUCUUGCUGCAUGGUGGGGGAUGGAAAGUUUCGGCGGUUGGGGAUGGACUCGCGGCUUAUCAGCUUGUUGGUGGGGUAGUGGCUUACCAAGGCUUUGACGGGUAGCCGGCCUGGGAGGGUGACCGGCCACAUUGGGACUGAGAUACGGCCCAGACGCCUACGGGAGGCAGCAGUGGGGAAUAUUGCACAAUGGGCGGAAGCCUGAUGCAGCAACGCCGCGUGCGGGAUGACGGCCUUCGGGUUGUAAACCGCUUUCGCCUGUGACGAAGCGUGAGUGGCGGUAAUGGGUAAAGAAGCACCGGCUAACUACGUG
RNAcentral lists this ribosomal RNA (468 nucleotides) under uncultured bacterium. RNAcentral describes it as "partial 16S ribosomal RNA". It matches the Rfam family "Bacterial small subunit ribosomal RNA", at positions 28 to 507 of the family's 1533-position model. The record is from RNAcentral.